This 254-nucleotide ribosomal RNA is filed under the name uncultured bacterium. Its description in RNAcentral is "partial 16S ribosomal RNA". It matches the Rfam family "Bacterial small subunit ribosomal RNA", at positions 524 to 776 of the family's 1533-position model. The record is from RNAcentral.
UACGAAGGGGGCUAGCGUUGCUCGGAAUUACUGGGCGUAAAGGGCGCGUAGGCGGCGGUGUUAGUCAGGCGUGAAAGCCCUGGGCUCAACCUGGGGACUGCGCUUGAUACGGCAUUGCUAGAGGAUGGAAGAGGGUCGCGGAAUUCCCAGUGUAGAGGUGAAAUUCGUAGAUAUUGGGAAGAACACCGGUGGCGAAGGCGGCGACCUGGUCCAUUACUGACGCUGAGGCGCGACAGCGUGGGGGAGCAAACAGG